CAAUGACUAGAGUGGCGAACUGGUGAGUAACACGUAAGAAACCUGCCCUUUAGUGGGGGAUAACAUUUGGAAACAGAUGCUAAUACCGCGUAACAACAAAUCACACAUGUGAUCUGUUUGAAAGGUCCUUUUGGAUCGCUAGAGGAUGGUCUUGCGGCGUAUUAGCUUGUUGGUAGGGUAGAAGCCUACCAAGGCAAUGAUGCGUAGCCGAGUUGAGAGACUGGCCGGCCACAUUGGGACUGAGACACUGCCCAAACUCCUACGGGAGGCUGCAGUAGGGAAUUUUCCGCAAUGCACGAAAGUGUGACGGAGCGACGCCGCGUGUGUGAUGAAGGCUUUCGGGUCGUAAAGCACUGUUGUAAGGGAAGAAUAACUGAAUUCAGAGAAAGUUUUCAGCUUGACGGUACCUUACCAGAAAGGGAUGGCUAAAUACGUGCCAGCAGCCGCGGUAAUACGUAUGUCCCGAGCGUUAUCCGGAUUUAUUGGGCGUAAAGCGAGCGCAGACGGUUUAUUAAGUCUGAUGUGAAAUCCCGAGGCCCAACCUCGGAACUGCAUUGGAAACUGAUUUACUUGAGUGCGAUAGAGGCAAGUGGAACUCCAUGUGUAGCGGUGAA
RNAcentral lists this ribosomal RNA (614 nucleotides) under Oenococcus oeni. RNAcentral describes it as "bacterial SSU rRNA". It matches the Rfam family "Bacterial small subunit ribosomal RNA", at positions 84 to 685 of the family's 1533-position model. The record is from RNAcentral. Lineage: Bacteria; Bacillati; Bacillota; Bacilli; Lactobacillales; Lactobacillaceae.